This 53-nucleotide transfer RNA is filed under the name Cissus welwitschii. RNAcentral's name for it is "partial tRNA-Phe". Lineage: Eukaryota; Viridiplantae; Streptophyta; Magnoliopsida; Vitales; Vitaceae. The record is from RNAcentral.
UUUUUAUUAUUUUUAAUUGACAUAGACCAAGUCUUCUAGUAAAAUGAGGAUGA